RNAcentral lists this unclassified non-coding RNA (734 nucleotides) under Homarus americanus (American lobster). RNAcentral describes it as "solute carrier family 22 member 5-like, transcript variant X2". The record is from RNAcentral. Lineage: Eukaryota; Metazoa; Arthropoda; Malacostraca; Decapoda; Nephropidae.
AGUACUCGUACUUCACUGUUAAUUAAGUCUCGUAAAGACUCUGAGAGUUAUAAAGUGUGAGGUGUACAGUACAGAACAAGAAUUACAGACCUACUAGAUCGGCGAAACCGCAUUUAUGAGGACUCGGACUCCAGGAAGCCUUACGCUUGUCACCAGUUUGACCUUAAUGUGACCCAGUCUUACUUGGCCGAUCAUGACGUCAUGAACGUGACCUCGCUGGAGCAACUGCCCGAACCUAUCGCAGCCUGUGUCGACGGUUGGAAGUAUGAGUUCGAUCGCAUGUUCUCAUCUUACACCUCAGAGCACAACUGGGUGUGUGAGGACGCCUGGCGACCCUACAUAGUGGUAACGAUGUUCUGGACUGGCAACACUGUCGACUCUUGGCUCUGGGGCGUCGCUUCUGAUAUGUGAGUCUCUCUUCCAGGUUAUGUCAGUUCAGUGUAAGUUAAUUCAUGUCAGUCCCAAAUAUAUCAAGUCAGCACGAGUCAUGUCGGGUCAACACAGGUUAUGCCAGGACAGUAUAGGUCAUCUAAUAUGAACAAAAAUCAUGUCAGGUCAGCUCAAAUCAUGUCACUUGAGGUCAACACAAGCCACUCUAGAUCAUCACAGACCAUACGAGAAUAAGAUAAAGACACACUAGGUGCUAGGACAACAUAGCUCACCAUAGGUAGGUAAUGGGUCAUCACAGGUAAAAGAGCCAUAACCCCGACAGGUGUGGAGUACUGGUGUAGUAU